CCGAUGGUGGUCCACCAAACCAAUUAGUUCCUAAGCCAGAUCCUGCCAUCCAAUCUAAUGAAUCGCUACCAUUUUGCCAUUCGCAGAGAGACAACGAUGGAAGUGGACCAAAAUCACAGAAGACUUCGUCUAUCAUCGCGAUUGAAAGUGAUGCAGAAAAUGGAAGCUGCUUGGUCACCAAUUCGUAAAGAAUAACACCCAUACUCCAUACGUCCGAUUUUAAGUCGUACGGUUGAUUCGAAAGCAUUUCUGGAGCCAUGUAGCAGUAAGAUCCAGCACAACACAUGGACUCCCUAAAGUAUAAAAAAGAAAUUGCAUUACCGAUCUAUAUAGGACCUAAGGACUCUUCAGGAAUUACAAGACUUUUGUAAAAGAGUUUUGGAGUUGCUGAUGUACGUGAUUGCUUCAAAGUAUCCAAAUAUUCCUGCUGUGAUGUCGCUAAUACUUGCGAAAGAACAUCGCUAUCUUCCCAGUCUGUCAAACCUAUAACACGUCACGAUGUUAUUAUGUGAUAUUUAAUAAAAUAAGUAGAAUAUAAUAUGAGAUCAAUAGAUAAGUUAUCAUUAAAUAAGAACGUUUAGGUUUACGUAUAAAUUUUAUUACCAAAUACUUCCGGAGGAAGACGAUUGAACAGUGAAAUAUCAGGCGAUGUAUGUGCUUCCUUACUACUUCCUGGUACAGGUUCUUGUGGCAUUAUCUUUGUUUCAAAGUCUGAUGGUGGAAGAUGAGUUAUAUUAGAACCUUGAGGAGAUUGAUGCUGUGGAGACCUCUUAUACCAUACAGUAUCUGGGACCUGUAGAUGUAAUAAAUUCUUUUUUUGUAUUUUCUUCUAAAGUCGCUAAUCGUUAUAAUAACGUUUGGACCUUUGGAGAAUUGCGCAUAGUAUCUUGGCUAGUUUGAGUGGUGGUCGGAGAAGAAGUAUGACUGCGUUGUUGUCCGCGAUUUCCAUGGGAAUGAAAAUGUGCAUGGCUAUGUUGUGCACUUGUAACCGUACUUGUACUGCUGCUACUUGCUGAUCGCUGAAUUUAACAAAUAUAUCAAGUUAGUAUUGUUCGAAGAUUCUUAAUUUUAUAUAUAUAUAUAUAUAUAUUGUACUUACGGCUUUACGCAUUUCAUUGUCUCGUAACCAUUGUAAAUAACUUUCUCUAGCAACUUGUUCUUCUAUUGCUUCAUUGGUUGCUUCCCAAUCAGUAGCUUUUAUUUUAUCUUCAAGCAUUGUCUGUUUCAGGAUAACAUGUUAUAAAAAGAUUUAAUUAUUUUCCACUUAGAUAAAAGAUUAACUUAAUUUACCUGUUCAAUAUGUAACUCUUCACUUUGUCGUACCGCGUCCGAUAUAAGUUCACGAUCUGCGGAACCAGGAUUGAAUGAUGGUAAACCCAACCCAACACCAAUAGUAGCUUUAUAUGGAUCUACUAUACUGUUAUAAUGACUGCCACGUUGAUACGACAAUCGUAUAGGUUCAUUGUCACUUUUUACCAUUGUAUGGAAAAUAUUAAUGGGUUCUAUAAUAUAAUAUUUUAAAAUUGUAAA
Vespula vulgaris is the source of this 1530-nucleotide long non-coding RNA. RefSeq lists it as uncharacterized. The transcript is spliced from 3 exons. NCBI's taxonomy places the organism in Eukaryota, Metazoa, Arthropoda, Insecta, Hymenoptera, Vespidae. The record is from RefSeq and is a predicted model, not a curated record.